AUCUUCACCCCAAUGCCCCCUGAAGCCCCUGAGCAGCCUAGUAGUGGAUAAAGGCAUGUUGAAAGUGGGGAUCCCUGGAAAAAUGGUGGUGCCUUGAGGAGUGGGAGUGGCAGAACCCACACCUCUCUACUCAGGAUUGGAAGAUUUCCUUCUUUGCCCCGUAAGUGAAUUUCAAGAAAUCACAUCCAGGCCUGAGAGAGGUCACAUCCCACAGUAAUUAUCAAGGUAUACGCUUGGCUAAGUUUAGAGGACACUGUCUAUUUUCUGAAGCAGAUGUUGACAUGGAAGCUGCCAUUAUCGUCAUGGUGAUCUGUUUAUUUACAUCCAUCCUGAGUACUAGAAGACAAGAUGAACAUCUGUGAGUCUCAAUUUCAUCACCUGCAAAAUGACCAGACAGUCUCCAGGGGCUCCUCCGAUGUUCUAUAAUCCCAUAAUGGAAGCAGCCCUGGACGGUUGAGCUGACCU
This 465-nucleotide long non-coding RNA is filed under the name Monodelphis domestica (gray short-tailed opossum). RNAcentral describes it as "lncRNA (ENSMODG00000040711.1)". Lineage: Eukaryota; Metazoa; Chordata; Mammalia; Didelphimorphia; Didelphidae. The record is from RNAcentral.